Molecule: long non-coding RNA, 591 nt
Organism: Esox lucius (northern pike)
Lineage: Eukaryota; Metazoa; Chordata; Actinopteri; Esociformes; Esocidae
Source: Ensembl
UCUUUGUGUAACGUUAUCCACAUCAUGUGGAUAACGUUACUCUUGGUAGUAAAUUUAGACUAGCUCAACCUGGACCUGUUGCAAUUCCGUUACUGAGGUGUCUGUGUAUCCACAUUGUUCUUAGCUAGCCUGUGUGUGUCUUAUCCUGCCGUUUUUUGUUACUUAUUUUCUUCUCAUUGCUUUCAGGUGAUGACGUUUUCUGUAGUUUUGUUCCCGGAGGAGGAUGACUGUGUGGCAGCAGUUCCACGCCAGCUAUGGGAAUUGCAUGUUGAUCUCGUAAUUGCUGAAAUGUUUACUUGGUUUCACCAUAUUUACCUGUUCACCAACUUUUAUGUUUAUUUUUAGGAUGGCGCAGUACUCCAAGGCACCAGAGAAGUACUCCACACCACCAUGUAGAGGAUGGCUACAUAGGGCAAGAAGGCAGAGGUAGGGGGACGUUUUACCUCUGCACAUGAAGGAGCCAUAAGGAAGAAUCUUUCCAACCAGGAUGCCACUGAUGAGGCUGUCCUGAACCAGGUCCCCAGGUACCAGAAAGUGGCAGCUGACCAUGGAGGUGGUCAGCUGCCCCUUUCAUAAGCUUAUUGCACUAAU